This is a non-coding RNA of Jaapia argillacea MUCL 33604, 86 nucleotides long. The record is from the annotation of a GenBank genome assembly. Lineage: Eukaryota; Fungi; Basidiomycota; Agaricomycetes; Jaapiales; Jaapiaceae.
GGCUCAAUGGUCUAGUAGUAUGAUUCUCGCUUCGGGCUACAAUCCUGAAUUGCGAGAGGUCCCGGGUUCAAUUCCCGGUUGAGCCC